RNAcentral lists this long non-coding RNA (375 nucleotides) under Mytilus galloprovincialis (Mediterranean mussel). Lineage: Eukaryota; Metazoa; Mollusca; Bivalvia; Mytilida; Mytilidae. The record is from RNAcentral.
UUUGUUUGUUUACAGUUAAGAAGCAUAUUUCCUUGAAAACAUAAAUAGUUAAAUAAUAAUUCAUCUUAUAUCCAUGUAUUAAGGGUAUGUAUGUACAAAAUAGUUUGCCAUUUUUUACAAUAUUGUUAAAACUAAAUCCUUUAUUUGUUCCUGAUCUGACAGGAUGCAUGACAUAUCAGAAUGGUAGAAAUUAAAGGAUUUAGUUUUGAUUUUUUUUAAACGUAAUUUAGAUAUCUUGGUGGUAAUGCAUUAGUUCAGAAUUAACUUUCUCUCAAAACCUAUAAAAACUUUCUAUGUCAAACAUGUCAAGUGACCAUACUCCAUCAUUAUAUGAACUUGAUUUAUAAAGGAUUGAAGAAUUUACAUUUUUUACAA